RNAcentral lists this ribosomal RNA (439 nucleotides) under uncultured bacterium. RNAcentral describes it as "partial 16S ribosomal RNA". It matches the Rfam family "Bacterial small subunit ribosomal RNA", at positions 339 to 795 of the family's 1533-position model. The record is from RNAcentral.
CUACGGGAUGCUGCAGUGGGGAAUAUUGCACAAUGGAGGAAACUCUGAUGCAGCAACGCCGCGUGGAGGAUGACACUUUUCGGAGCGCAAACUCCUUUUAUAUAGGAAGAAGAUGACGGUACUAUAUGAAUAAGCGCCGGCUAGCUCCGUGCCAGCAGCCGCGGUAAUACGGAGGGCGCAAGCGUUACUCGGAAUCACUGGGCGUAAAGAGCGUGUAGGCGGAUUAAAAAGUCAGAAGUGAAAUCCUAUAGCUUAACUAUAGAACUGCUUCUGAAACUCUUAAUCUAGAAUAUGGGAGAGGUAGAUGGAAUUUCUGGUGUAGGGGUAAAAUCCGUAGAGAUCAGAAGGAAUACCGAUUGCGAAGGCGAUCUACUAGAACAUUAUUGACGCUGAGACGCGAAAGCGUGGGGAGCAAACAGGAUUAGAUACCCUAGUAGUC